UACGUAGGUGGCGAGCGUUAUCCGGAAUGAUUGGGUUUAAAGGGUGCGUAGGCGGACGCUUAAGUCAGCGGUAAAAUUGCGGGGCUCAACCUCGUCGAGCCGUUGAAACUGGGUGCCUUGAGUGGGCGAGAAGUACGCGGAAUGCGUGGUGUAGCGGUGAAAUGCAUAGAUAUCACGCAGAACUCCGAUUGCGAAGGCAGCGUACCGGCGCCCAACUGACGCUGAAGCACGAAGGCGUGGGUAUCGAACAGG
This 252-nucleotide ribosomal RNA is filed under the name uncultured bacterium. Its description in RNAcentral is "partial 16S ribosomal RNA". It matches the Rfam family "Bacterial small subunit ribosomal RNA", at positions 524 to 776 of the family's 1533-position model. The record is from RNAcentral.